AAAGAGAUCCCAAACAGAUCCAUUUUCUUUUGCAACUAUAAUGGUAAAUAAAACAAAUGGGAACUCUUUGCUUGGCCAAUAUAAACGAUGGCAACCCAAAGCACAUUAUGAGCUUGAAUGCCAAUUCUGAUAGAGUUCUCUUCCAUUAUAAUGGACAUGGUGUGCCAAAACCAACUGCUAAUGGUGAAAUUUGGGUAUUCAAUAAGUCUGGAAUCAAUACAAUUUGGUACCAAUCGGUAGUAGUGGAUUGGCUUAGAGUGAUGCCUACUGGGUACUCAACCAUUGUCAAUCUUUAACUAGACUC
Non-coding RNA from Camellia sinensis, 304 nucleotides. The record is from RefSeq and is a predicted model, not a curated record. Lineage: Eukaryota; Viridiplantae; Streptophyta; Magnoliopsida; Ericales; Theaceae.